GUGAAUCAUCGAAUUUUUGAACGCAUAUUGCACUAUCUGGGAUGCGUGAGAGUAUGCCUAUUUGAGGGUAAUUUGAAAUAAUAUAGAUUUCGUGAUUUUCUUGAGAUCGAAAGUGGGUCGGUCAAGCUUUCGUGUGUUGGUCGCCUAAAAUGCAAGACAAUCUCAUUUCUUGGGUUGCAUGAUACUUUCAGUUACCUCGUGACUUCACAAAGAAUCUGCGAUCGUGUUAAUAAUUGUGCAAUAAAUGAACGUG
RNAcentral lists this unclassified non-coding RNA (253 nucleotides) under Archaeospora sp. Its description in RNAcentral is "partial internal transcribed spacer 2". The stretch from base 1 to 71 matches the Rfam family "5.8S ribosomal RNA", at positions 84 to 154 of the family's 154-position model. Lineage: Eukaryota; Fungi; Glomeromycota; Glomeromycetes; Archaeosporales; Archaeosporaceae. The record is from RNAcentral.